Molecule: long non-coding RNA, 913 nt
Organism: Perca fluviatilis (European perch)
Lineage: Eukaryota; Metazoa; Chordata; Actinopteri; Perciformes; Percidae
Exons: 2
Source: RefSeq, a predicted model, not a curated record
CUCAUGUACUGCACCAGACUGGCCAGUUCCUGCGGUUGUUGUUGCCAUCCUGUACCUGUCCCGCAGGUGUGAUAUUCGGAUGUACCGAUCCUGUGCAGGUUUACAAGUGGUCUGCCACUGCGAGGACGAUCAGCUGUUCUUCCUGUCUCGCUGUAGCCUAGUGUCUCACAGUAGGGACAUUGCAAUGUAUUGCCCUGGCCACAUCUGCUGUCCUCAUGCCUCCUUGCACUAAGGCACGUUCACGCAGAUUAGCAGGGACCCUGGCCGUCUUUCUUUUGGUGUUUUUCAGAGUCAGGAGAAAGCUCCUCCAGCACCCGAGCCCUGAACUGGGUCCAGUCUUCGUCCUGGAACUGCUCGACGCCCAGGGCCAGAUGGAGGUCUGCAGAGUGGCUGCGCAGGAAAGGAUUGUACUGCCUCUCUUCUCCGACAGUGGAGGGACACUGAAAAUGAAGAGCACGUCAAAAGGCAGCCCUCCUCAAAAGUGGAUGUAAACAGUCUCACUCUAGCAGUCACAGUGAUACACAUGCCCUUUAUUUACGGAACAGAAUUAUGGGUAACAAGUGAUCCCUGCCAACUUAAACCGACACGGCUUUGAACUUCUGCAUCUUUGCCCCGAAUUGAAAUGCAGAAAAACGUCUCAUCGUCAACAAUAAAUCCCCUUUUAGCUAGUUUCAUGCAUUUAAUUGGGCAUAAUCCACAUUGAUUGCCAAUCCAGACGUCAAGCCCCUGGACCACAGAAUUUAAAAGCAACUAAAACAAGGAGCUCAAGUGUCGAUGUGAAUUUCUGCUAUUGUAUUGUUUAAUGUAAAGCUCUCUUUCGCCACCACAUACAGAACACAUUAAAAUAUGUAGCUAAUGGAUAUCCAGCAAAAGAAGCACUGUCAAAAAGCUAGAUGAGGUAGUAUCACAACAA